AACAAAUAAGUCAUAAUCAUGCAACACUGUUUUUGAGGCGCUCCUCAAAUAAAUUUAAAUAUUUUUUACAAUAUGUUACAACACGGUUACAAUAAAAUUUCCACGUGUGAAAUAAUCUUAAGCUACCUUAUGUAUGCCAAUAUUGCAUGGAGCAGUACUGACAAAGUAAAGCUAGAAUAGUUAUACUUAAAUGAAAAACAUCCUUCAUGGCUAGUGUACAACAAAGACAAACUCAACCUUAUAUGAACAAAUAGAAGUACUAAAUAUCUUUCAAAUACAUAUUUACCAAAAUAUACUUUUCCUGUUUAAA
Long non-coding RNA from Hydra vulgaris (swiftwater hydra), 310 nucleotides. RefSeq lists it as uncharacterized. The record is from RefSeq and is a predicted model, not a curated record. NCBI's taxonomy places the organism in Eukaryota, Metazoa, Cnidaria, Hydrozoa, Anthoathecata, Hydridae.